Long non-coding RNA from Lagopus leucura (white-tailed ptarmigan), 986 nucleotides. RefSeq lists it as uncharacterized. The transcript has 4 exons. Lineage: Eukaryota; Metazoa; Chordata; Aves; Galliformes; Phasianidae. The record is from RefSeq and is a predicted model, not a curated record.
UGAGCCCUGCAGAAACUCUUUCUGGACAUCCUUAGAAAGCACUUUGCACCUCUGGAACCAAGCAGUAGUUGGAAGCAAGCUUCUGCCUUGAGGAAAACCUGAAAUUUCGGCAUGUAUUAUCAAUACAUAAUUCUUUGUGGCACUGAAAUGUAAAUAUAUUAUAUGAUAACUAAUGGAGAGAAUUCGGUUCUGGCUGCAAAAGGGGAAAGAAGAAUUCACAAAUUGUAGACGCUGGACGGGACCUGUAGAGAUUGAGUUCAACCAUCUGCUAAAGCAAGUUCACUACACAGGCAGACGUCCAGAUGGGUCUUGUGUAUCCACAAAGAAGGAGACUCCACAACCUCUCCAGGCAGCCUGUUCCAGUGCUCAAUAUCUUGUUGAAAACUCAUCCUGUGAACAUUGACACCACAUCAUACUUAUGAUGAUAGUUUAUUAAUAAGAUAGUUUAUUCUGAAGGCGGUCAAGAAGAUCACCAUGAAGACUGAGUCAUCUGUUGGUGCCUGAGUAACAGCUCUUCUCAAGCAGCCUUGGAAAAGACACAGACAUCUGAAAGAAAUACACCCUCUGCUGCCAAGCAAUCUGAACGUACAUCUGUCUCCAAGGUAUAUCUCUCUUUAAAACUAUAAGGAAAGUGGCCAGCUGUGAUGACAUAUAAAGACUGAACCAAAAAUACUUGGAGAAAGUGAGGAAGAUGCAAUAUCUCAAUGAUGCUUUUGCAACACAUCAUCUGUGAGGGGCCAACACAGAAAGUCUGGCUGCUAAUCACAGCUGGAUGUAAGCCAUGAAGUUCAGCUAUGAGUGCAAACUUUCCUUCAGCCUGAGGUCAUUUGGCUUCAUGCAUUUGGUAGACAGAAAAGGACUAGUAUGAAGUGCAAAUUGUGUUCUAGUUUGUAUAAAUUAUUAAGGUGAUCUGGUGUGAAUGUUUUCUACAGAUUCCUGUCCAUUAUUCUUGUAGAUUUAAGGCUAUUAAAGUUGUUUUACACAUA